CAGCCGCCGCGGUAAUACGUAGGGUGCAAGCGUUAAUCGGAAUUACUGGGCGUAAAGCGUGCGCAGGCGGUUUUGUAAGACAGGCGUGAAAUCCCCGGGCUCAACCUGGGAAUGGCGCUUGUGACUGCAAAGCUGGAGUGCGGCAGAGGGGGAUGGAAUUCCGCGUGUAGCAGUGAAAUGCGUAGAUAUGCGGAGGAACACCAAUGGCGAAGGCAAUCCCCUGGGCCUGCACUGACGCUCAUGCACGAAAGCGUGGGGAGCAAACAGGAUUAGAUACCCUGGUAGUCCACGCCCUAAACGAUGUCAACUGGUUGUUGGUCCUUAGCUGGAUCAGUAACGAAGCUAACGCGUGAAGUUGACCGCCUGGGGAGUACGGCCGCAAGGUUGAAACUCAAAUGAAUUGACGG
RNAcentral lists this ribosomal RNA (407 nucleotides) under bacterium enrichment culture clone LiUU-17-328. Its description in RNAcentral is "bacterial SSU rRNA". It matches the Rfam family "Bacterial small subunit ribosomal RNA", at positions 509 to 916 of the family's 1533-position model. The record is from RNAcentral.